UUGACAUUAUUCUUGAUGUGGCUUAACGUCAGGAGUGAGGGUAAGGGAGGAUUUCUCCUCCCCCUGGUGUCUUAGUAAGCUGGGAGGCUAAUCACUAAGAGUAUCACCAGUAUGAUGACUAACUUCAUCAUAACCCUUUCCUUAUU
Molecule: small RNA, 146 nt
Filed under: Salmonella enterica subsp. salamae serovar 42:f,g,t:--
Lineage: Bacteria; Pseudomonadati; Pseudomonadota; Gammaproteobacteria; Enterobacterales; Enterobacteriaceae
Also listed under: 2 other names
Description: QUAD RNA
Rfam family: Short Intergenic Abundant RNA
About the family: This family contains multiple ncRNA from E. coli that were identified in a large scale screen of E. coli, were they were called candidates 43,55 and 61. These RNAs have also been identified by other groups and called QUAD RNAs.
Source: RNAcentral